GUCUACGGCCAUACCACCCUGAACACGCCCAGUCUCAUCUGAUCUAGGACGCUAAGCAGGUUGGGCCUGCUUAGUACUUGGAUGGGAGACUCUGUCUCAAAAACAAACAAACAAAAAAA
Otolemur garnettii (small-eared galago) is the source of this 119-nucleotide non-coding RNA. The record is from Rfam. NCBI's taxonomy places the organism in Eukaryota, Metazoa, Chordata, Mammalia, Primates, Galagidae.